UAGGAAUGUUUAAUUGAAAAUUAUUUUCCUAUACAUAAUAACUACAUUCAUAAUAAUGUUUAUGUUUUUUUGCUUAAUGUUAAGGUAUCUCACUGAAUACCUUUGAACUUAAGGGAGAAAUGUAUCCUAUUAUAUAUGGUGGAGAUGCACCUAAUAAGGAAGUAGACUUCAAUGGGCAUCAAUCUAAGUAUACAACUUUUACAUUAUUGGAGUUAACAAAGAUUAAAAAGACAAGUUUUUUAUAAUUUAUAGAAGCUAAAAUUAAGUAAAAUCUAGACACUGUAUUUUUCUAACAACAUAUUAUACCCCAUUUUAGUACAAUCAUAUGUGCUCCAAAAUGGGCUUUAUAAAACUUAAGAAGUCUAUAAUUUGGUAUUACAAAAUUGCAGAUUUUGCUCAAACAAUUCCUUAGAUGAUAAAUUGGUGAAGGGUUAAAUUGUUCUCUGUGAAGGCAACAUAGGUGAUCCUGAGGCCUUAAGAGUUGGUGCUAUUGGUGUCUUAACACAAGGUCACACUUCUACAUAUGUUGCCUUCUCUUUUGCCGUGCCCGGAUAUUUCCUUCAAUCGAAGGAUGCUGCGAAAAUACAUAAAUAUAUACGCUCUUCAAGGUCUCCAACCGCAACAAUAUUUAAGACCGAAGAGUUAGAAGAUACUUUGACACCUAUGAUUGCCUCUUUUUCAUCGAGGGGUCCAAACAGUGUUACUUUUGAUAUCCUAAAGCCUGAUUUAAUUGCUCAUGGGGUAGACAUCAUAGCUAGUUUGGUCUUCAAUUACAUUUCUCUCAGACGUUGACAGGGUGAUAAUAGAAAGUUAGAGUUUAAUAUUAUGUCCGGAACAUCAAUGGCAUGUCCACAUGUGUCCGGUGCAGCAGAGUGCAUCAAAUCAUAUCAUCCUACAUGGUCAUCUGCUGCUAUUCGUUCAGCUCUAAUGACCCCCGGUAAAAGAUUAGUAAUAUUUGAUUGGAAUUGUCUUUUUUAAAGUUGAUUAUUUUUAACUAAACUAUUCAUUAAUUAAAAGUCACUAGAUAUUUGUUAAUUUAUUAAUCCACUUUGACUUGUAAUGAAAUUACACCAU
Cicer arietinum (chickpea) is the source of this 1074-nucleotide non-coding RNA. Lineage: Eukaryota; Viridiplantae; Streptophyta; Magnoliopsida; Fabales; Fabaceae. The record is from RefSeq and is a predicted model, not a curated record.